Molecule: ribosomal RNA, 253 nt
Filed under: uncultured bacterium
Lineage: Bacteria
Description: partial 16S ribosomal RNA
Rfam family: Bacterial small subunit ribosomal RNA
Source: RNAcentral
UACGUAGGGUGCAAGCGUUGUCCGGAAUUAUUGGGCGUAAAGAGCUCGUAGGCGGUCUGUCGCGUCGACUGUGAAAACCCGGGGCUCAACUCCGGGCUUGCAUUCGAUACGGGCAGGCUAGAGUUCGGUAGGGGAGUCUGGAAUUCCUGGUGUAGCGGUGAAAUGCGCAGAUAUCAGGAGGAACACCGGUGGCGAAGGCGGGACUCUGGGCCGAUACUGACGCUGAGGAGCGAAAGCGUGGGGAGCGAACAGG